Molecule: long non-coding RNA, 176 nt
Organism: Sapajus apella (tufted capuchin)
Lineage: Eukaryota; Metazoa; Chordata; Mammalia; Primates; Cebidae
Exons: 3
Source: RefSeq, a predicted model, not a curated record
UUUGCAGAGCUGGGAUCUCCCUUUGUUGCUCAGGCUGGUCUUGAACUCCUGGCCACAAGUGAUCCACCUGCCUCAGCCUCCCAAAGUGCUGAGAUUAUAGGCAUGAGCCACCACGCUCAGUAUUAUCAUAAAGUUAAACAUAUACACUUACCACAUGACCUAGCAAAUCCUUCUCC